Molecule: ribosomal RNA, 253 nt
Filed under: uncultured bacterium
Lineage: Bacteria
Description: partial 16S ribosomal RNA
Rfam family: Bacterial small subunit ribosomal RNA
Source: RNAcentral
UACGGAGGAGGCAAGCGUUAUCCGGAAUUAUUGGGCGUAAAGCGUCCGUAGGUGGUUGGCCAAGUCUGCUGUCAAAGGGUGGGGCUUAACCUCAUAAAGGCAGUGGAAACUGGCGAGCUAGAGUGCGGUAGGGGUAGGGGGAAUUCCCAGUGUAGCGGUGAAAUGGGUAGAGAUUGGGAAGAACAUCGGUGGCGAAAGCGCCCUGCUGGGCCUGCACUGACACUGAGGGACGAAAGGUAGGGGAUCGAAAGGG